AGUAGAUCCACAGAGGGUUUGUCUUUUUUGAUCUCUCAGCUCUGAUUGGAAAUAAGUCAGUAUUAGCAGUGUUGUUAAAAUCUCCACCAUGAAGAUCCAUCAGGGUGCUUGGAGUCUAACAAGAGAAAAGGCAUCUCAAAGCCACAGUCACAGCUCUGGACACACAGGUGCUGAGAAGAACUGAUCAAACAGUAAUGUCUCCAUGGGGACCAGCCAGCCAGCAACAGUGUACACACUCACUGUGUACUGACCAGGACUCAGAAAAUCUGUUCUGCCAAUCCCUGGACUCCUAAUUAGCCUUCCAUCUCCCAAAAUGCUCUAUCUCAGAACCCAGCCACCAGGCUGUGAUAAAUCCAAGCCACAUGGAAAGACUGCAUGUGGGAGGCACAAUUCAAAUUAGAUUUGAACUUUCAUUUAUAUCCA
This is a long non-coding RNA of Sapajus apella (tufted capuchin), 423 nucleotides long. RefSeq lists it as uncharacterized. NCBI's taxonomy places the organism in Eukaryota, Metazoa, Chordata, Mammalia, Primates, Cebidae. The transcript is spliced from 3 exons. The record is from RefSeq and is a predicted model, not a curated record.